Molecule: non-coding RNA, 29 nt
Filed under: Homo sapiens (human)
Lineage: Eukaryota; Metazoa; Chordata; Mammalia; Primates; Hominidae
Source: RNAcentral
UGACAGACCAAUGAGAAUAGUGCGUGCUU